This 437-nucleotide ribosomal RNA is filed under the name uncultured marine picoeukaryote. RNAcentral's name for it is "bacterial SSU rRNA". It matches the Rfam family "Eukaryotic small subunit ribosomal RNA", at positions 117 to 551 of the family's 1831-position model. The record is from RNAcentral.
ACGUAAGUUUCAUGUCGUUGUUUACUACUUGGAUAUCCACUGGUAAUUCUAGAGCUAAUACAUGCGUCCAGACCCAACUUUGGGGAAGGGUUGUGGUUAUUAAAACACUAACCCACCCCGGCUUGCCCGGUUUCGAGGUGAUUGAUGGUAAUCGAACGAAUCGCAUGCUUUGCCGCCAAGAAUCCAUCCAGUUUCCGAACCAUCCACCUUCCAACGGAGGGUAAUGGCCCACCCUGGCCUUUACCGGGAAACGAAAAAUUAGGUUUGAUUCCCGAAAAGGAACCCGAAAAAACGCCACCCCCUCCUAAGGAAGGCGCCAGGGCCCCAAUUUCCCCAUCCCGACCCAAGGGGGGUGUGGCCAAAAAUAACCAUUUGAGGCCUUUUUGGCCUGGAAUUGGAAAGAACACAAUUUAAAACCCCUUUCCAGUAACCAUUGG